AGAAAGAACCAACAGGGAUUGCCUCAGUAACGGCGAGUGAAGCGGCAAGAGCUCAAAUUUGAAAGCUGGCCCCUUCGGGGUCCGCGUUGUAAUUUGCAGAGGAUGCUUCGGGUGCAGCCCCCGUCUAAGUGCCCUGGAACGGGCCGUCAUAGAGGGUGAGAAUCCCGUCUGGGACGGGGUGUCUGCGUCCGUGUGAAGCUCCUUCGACGAGUCGAGUUGUUUGGGAAUGCAGCUCUAAAUGGGUGGUAAAUUUCAUCUAAAGCUAAAUACUGGCCGGAGACCGAUAGCGCACAAGUAGAGUGAUCGAAAGAUGAAAAGCACUUUGAAAAGAGAGUUAAACAGCACGUGAAAUUGUUGAAAGGGAAGCGUUUGCGACCAGACUCGCCCGCGGGGUUCAGCCGGCAUUCGUGCCGGUGUACUUCCCCGUGGGCGGGCCAGCGUCGGUUUGGGCGGCCGGUCAAAGGCCCUCGGAAUGUAUCACCUCUCGGGGUGUCUUAUAGCCGAGGGUGCAAUGCGGCCUGCCUGGACCGAGGAACGCGCUUCGGCUCGGACGCUGGCGUAAUGGUCGUAAAUGACC
This 577-nucleotide ribosomal RNA is filed under the name Aspergillus fumigatus. RNAcentral's name for it is "eukaryotic LSU rRNA". It matches the Rfam family "Eukaryotic large subunit ribosomal RNA", at positions 56 to 649 of the family's 3401-position model. Lineage: Eukaryota; Fungi; Ascomycota; Eurotiomycetes; Eurotiales; Aspergillaceae. The record is from RNAcentral.